RNAcentral lists this ribosomal RNA (423 nucleotides) under uncultured bacterium. RNAcentral describes it as "bacterial SSU rRNA". It matches the Rfam family "Bacterial small subunit ribosomal RNA", at positions 355 to 774 of the family's 1533-position model. The record is from RNAcentral.
UAGGGAAUAUUGGACAAUGGGGGGAACCCUGAUCCAGCCAUGCCGCGUGGAGGAAGACUGCCCUCUGGGUUGUAAACUCCUUUUAUAUGGGAAGAACCGUCCUCAUUGAUGAGUGACCUGACGGUACCAUAGGAAUAAGCACCGGCUAACUCCGUGCCAGCAGCCGCGGUAAAACGUAGGAGGCGAGCGUUAUCCGGAUUUACUGGGCGUAAAGCGCACGCAGGCGGCUCUGUUAGUCGGACGUGAAAGCUCUCGGCUUAACCGGGAGAGGCCGUUCGAUACUGCGGGGCUUGAGGUAGGGAGAGGAAUGCGGAAUUCCCGGUGUAGUGGUGGAAUGCGUAGAUAUCGGGAGGAACACCUGUGGCGAAAGCGGCAUUCUGGCCCUCACCUGACGCUGAGGUGCGAAAGCGUGGGUAGCAAACA